Molecule: long non-coding RNA, 652 nt
Organism: Sycon ciliatum
Lineage: Eukaryota; Metazoa; Porifera; Calcarea; Leucosolenida; Sycettidae
Exons: 11
Source: RefSeq, a predicted model, not a curated record
CUUGUCUAUGUCCAGCUGCACAACGAGAUGAGGCUGGUCAUUGUCAUUUUCUGAGCUGUGAACGGGCAGCAAGCUGCACAACGAGAUGAGACUGGUCAUUGUCAUUUUCUGAGCUGUGAACGGGCAUCAAGCUGCACAACGAGAUGAGACUGGUCAUUGUCAUUUUCUGAGCUGUGAACGGGCAGGAAGCUGCACAACGAGAUGAGACUGGUCAUUGUCAUUUUCUGAGCUGUGAACGGGCAGGAAGAUGCACAACGAGAUGAGGCUGGUCAUUGUCAUUUUCUGAGCUGUGAACGAGCAGGAAGCUGCACAACGGGAUGAGGCUGGUCAUUGUCAUUUUCUGAGCUGUGAACGGGCAGGAAGCUGCACAACGGGAUGAGGCUGGUCAUUGUCAUAUUCUGAGCUGUGAACGGGCAGGAAGCUGCACAACGAGAUGAGGCUGGUCAUUGUCAUUUUCUGAGCUGUGAAAGGGCAGGAAGCUGCACAACGAGAUGAGGCUGGUCAUUGUCAUUUUCUGAGCUGUGAACGGGCAGGAAGCUGCACAACGAGAUGAGGCUGGUCAUUGUCAUUUUCUGAGCUGUGAACGGGCAGGAAGCUUCACAACGAGAUGAGGCUGGUCAUUGUCAUUUUCUGAGCUGUGAACGGGCAGGAA